This 446-nucleotide long non-coding RNA is filed under the name Brassica napus (rape). RNAcentral's name for it is "long non-coding RNA (BNAP_LNC023912)". Lineage: Eukaryota; Viridiplantae; Streptophyta; Magnoliopsida; Brassicales; Brassicaceae. The record is from RNAcentral.
GACUAAAGUCCAUUCAGCCUCCGGGUUCCUGGACGAAAGUCCAUACAACCUCCAAUUUAUGAAGAAUCGCAUCCACGAGCCAUGAGUUUCAGAAGGAUGUAUCUCUAAACUUUCAGAUUUUGGAAGAGCAUUCCCAGGGUCCUCCGGGUUCCAUGAAAGCACGACGCCAGGUCAUCUCAGCAUCGAUUGUGGCCUACCUCCUUGGGCAGAUUGCAAUGUUACAUAGUUGAGAGUGGCCAAGAAUCAAGGGCGGAGUUCAACCAAUGUUUCCACCUUCUUUAUUCGGCAUGGAAACUACUGCUUGCCGCAAACAACAUGUCCAAGAGAUCUACUCCGGCACCAAGAAUCAACUAGGUUAUCUCCAGGCAGUAAGACGAACAUACCGAACGUCCCCCCUGUCAAAAGUCAAGGUACAAUCCCGAGACAAGGCAAGAAGCUACAGCUAC